RNAcentral lists this ribosomal RNA (514 nucleotides) under uncultured bacterium. RNAcentral describes it as "partial 16S ribosomal RNA". It matches the Rfam family "Bacterial small subunit ribosomal RNA", at positions 28 to 523 of the family's 1533-position model. The record is from RNAcentral.
GACGAACGCUGGCGGCGUGCCUAAUACAUGCAAGUCGAGCGGACGAAUCGAAAGCUUGCUUUUGAUUCGUUAGCGGCGGACGGGUGAGUAACACGUGGGCAACCUGCCCUGUAGACGGGGAUAACACCGAGAAAUCGGUGCUAAUACCGGAUAACACGAAAUGUCGCAUGACGUUUCGUUGAAAGACGGCGCAAGCUGUAGCUACAGGAUGGGCCCGCGGCGCAUUAGCUAGUUGGUGAGGUAACGGCUCACCAAGGCGACGAUGCGUAGCCGACCUGAGAGGGUGAUCGGCCACACUGGGACUGAGACACGGCCCAGACUCCUACGGGAGGCAGCAGUAGGGAAUCUUCCGCAAUGGACGAAAGUCUGACGGGGCAACGCCGCGUGAGCGAAGAAGGCCUUCGGGUCGUAAAGCUCUGUUGUUAGGGAAGAACAAGUAACGCAGUAACUGGCGUUACCGUGACGGUACCUAACGAGAAAGCCACGGCUAACUACGUGCCAGCCGCCGCAGUAA